GUGGCUGUGAGAGGGUUAACAAAGGACUCUGUUGUCUUGGCAGCCAUCUUGACAGGUGCAUGACAUGCACGGUGGCUCCAGGCUUGCUGCUUUUCUAGUGAAGAAAACUGCUUCCCUAUUUAAAUUUGGGGGGGAGGUGAUUUUUGAAGGGAAAAGGGUGAGGAAAAUAAGGUGUCCUUACAUCUCCAGGUUUAGAAACUUGUGAAUUAUCCACAAGACCAGUGUUGUUUUAGUAACAAACUUCUUAAUUGUUCUGGCUGUUUGAAUUUAAUGAAUACCAUAUUAUCUCAUGACUCUUAUGUAAUUGGGCAGCUGCUUUGGUGUUUUUUUGUGUUAAAGGAAACACUUAUAGUGCUAAGUUAACAAUUCUAGAAUUUAACCUUUUCUUUAUUCCAUUAAAAAAUGCUUCGAGUCUACAACCCUAACUUAAAUACUUUUUUUAAAACAUGUAAAUAAAUACUGGUUUGCUUGGACUGACUUGUCUUGUUUCUCAUCCAUGCCUUUUUAGUGAUGUUAGUUGCAGGGGGAAUUUGAUUUAAAUCACUGGUCAGGAUACCUUUGAUUAAAACGCUGUUUUCUGCAAGAAGUGCAUUCUUGUUGCUUGAUAUCCUCUAUUCAUUUAAGUUCUUGAAACAGUGUUUUUAAAGAGAGGUAAGGGCUUGAGUCUAUGCACACAAGCAUGCAGAGAGACAAUAGAGCUGAUGGGUAGGUAAUCAUGUCUUUUUCUGUUAUCUCUGUGCU
This is a long non-coding RNA of Gavialis gangeticus (Gharial), 741 nucleotides long. RefSeq lists it as uncharacterized. The transcript is spliced from 3 exons. Lineage: Eukaryota; Metazoa; Chordata; Crocodylia; Gavialidae. The record is from RefSeq and is a predicted model, not a curated record.